Molecule: long non-coding RNA, 1405 nt
Organism: Syzygium oleosum
Lineage: Eukaryota; Viridiplantae; Streptophyta; Magnoliopsida; Myrtales; Myrtaceae
Exons: 3
Source: RefSeq, a predicted model, not a curated record
UGUGCACACCACCUCACCUGACCUUGUACCGUUAACAGCAACGGAGACUGGGGAUGGCGAGAUACCUAUGGCAGCGAUGCUAGUGCUGGUCCCCGGUAAUCCCAUGACCAGUUUCUUGAUCCUGAUGCGAAAGAGUGAUCAAUGCAUUCAUCUGCCUUGAUCAGUUCAUCUGCCUCGGCCACCACUUCCUCUACCUUUUUUUAUAAAAGCCGAGGACUUUGUCGAACUCAUUAUCCAGCCUCCCGAAGAACAAGAGCUUGCACUCACCUCCCUCGUCCGACGAACUCAGACAUGGUCUGGUGCCUCCCAUGAUCCGAUCCCUCCUCUUGAACCGUGCUCACUAGUAUCACUUCUUCGUCUUCACCACUUUCUUUGGAAGAAUUUCCCGGUGUACCGGCCCGCUGAAGGCUCAGUAGACUGACCCCCAUUUCUUUAAAGGGCCCUGCGAGGUGGUCGUUGGUGCCCUUGGGGAUGGCCGCGAAUACAGCUGCCGGUGGCGCAAGACGUCCUUCAAGAUCAACUAGCGAAAGUUGUGAUCCAUCUGAACAGGAAUGAAACUGCAAAAAGUUGUGAACUGCAAAGUAAUGAUGAAGGGAAAAUGUUCUUGGCCCGUUGAUCCAUUUAGCACAAGAAAGAAGUUCAAGGCAGUUUGCUGUGUUUUCAUUGAGAUGUACCCUGAAUCUCUGUAGUGUAGGGACACACAGAGUCUUGCCUAGAAGAUGGCAAGUUCAUCAAAGGAGAAGACAUAUUGGACGAUCUCUCUUGCAGUACCCGCACUGCCUGUUCGACGAAAUUCCUCACCCCAAACGCGUUCUUCUCAUUCCCGGUAUCCAUCAACACUCUGUUGACUUCUCGCACCACUGUUUCAUUUCUUGGCGGUGUUCUCUGUUUUGUGUUUGUUUUUUUUCUUUUAAAUCCCUGUGUUUUCUUCCUGCCUGUUUGAGUGUUUAGUUUUGCAAGAACUAAAAUUAGCUGCUGUCCACUUAGCAGCCAGUGGCUGCUGCCCGGACAUGUUGAUGUCCUUGGAUGGACUAUCUGUCACCAGCUUGACCCUGCACGUUCUUUAUGUGCCAUAGAGAAGUAGCGCAUUGUUGGCUUUUACCUAUUUUCGAUUUUUCCUAUCUCUCCUCUCAGUAUUAGUUGAUUCUAAUUCGUUACAUUAAUUGUGCGAGGAGAGAGACCUAACUGAUUUGUUUUUCCUCUCUUCAAACUUAAUCGAGCAAUUGUAAUAGGUGUGUAUACUCUGUUUUAAUGGAGUUUCAAGUUUCAUUGGGUUAGUAGAUGUUGCAAGGAAACAGAAUGAGUUUAUGCUUCAUUAAACUGACGUCGAGAGUCGAGGUCAAAAGCAACCCAGUGUUGGGUCGAAGCAAUCAAAUACUCCACAAAGUAUUGUCUCACUUUUGUU